This 423-nucleotide ribosomal RNA is filed under the name uncultured bacterium. RNAcentral describes it as "bacterial SSU rRNA". It matches the Rfam family "Bacterial small subunit ribosomal RNA", at positions 207 to 622 of the family's 1533-position model. The record is from RNAcentral.
AAGACCUUGCGCUUUUGGAGCGGCCGAUGCCUGAUUAGCUUGUUGGUAAGGUAAAAGCUUACCAAGGCUUCGAUCAGUGGCUGGUCUGAGAGGACGGCCAGCCACACUGGGACUGAGACACGGCCCAGACUCCUACGGGAGGCAGCAGUGGGGAAUUUUGGACAAUGGGGGCAACCCUGAUCCAGCCAUGCCGCGUGAGUGAAGAAGGCCUUCGGGUUGUAAAGCUCUUUCAGCCGGAACGAAACGGUUACGGUUAAUACCCGUGACUACUGACGGUACCGGAAGAAGAAGCACCGGCUAACUACGUGCCAGCAGCCGCGGUAAUACGUAGGGUGCGAGCGUUAAUCGGAAUUACUGGGCGUAAAGCGUGCGCAGGUGGUUUUGUAAGUCAGAUGUGAAAGCCCCGGGCUCAACCUGGGAACU